UGGGGAAUAUUGCACAAUGGGGGAAACCCUGAUGCAGCGACGCCGCGUGAACGAAGAAGGUAUUCGUAUCGUAAAGUUCUGUCCUAUGGGAAGAUAAUGACAGUACCAUAGAAGAAAGCUCCGGCUAAAUACGUGCCAGCAGCCGCGGUAAUACGUAUGGAGCGAGCGUUGUCCGGAAUUAUUGGGCGUAAAGGGUACGCAGGCGGUUUAAUAAGUCGAAUGUUAAAGAUCGGGGCUCAACCCCGUAAAGCAUUGGAAACUGAUAAACUUGAGUAGUGGAGAGGAAAGUGGAAUUCCUAGUGUAGUGGUGAAAUACGUAGAUAUUAGGAGGAAUACCAGUAGCGAAGGCGUCUUUCUGGACACAAACUGACGCUGAGGUACGAAAGCGUGGGGAGCAAACAGG
This 403-nucleotide ribosomal RNA is filed under the name Actinomycetes bacterium. RNAcentral describes it as "Actinobacteria bacterium partial 16S ribosomal RNA". It matches the Rfam family "Bacterial small subunit ribosomal RNA", at positions 355 to 776 of the family's 1533-position model. The record is from RNAcentral. Lineage: Bacteria; Bacillati; Actinomycetota; Actinomycetes.